This 1675-nucleotide long non-coding RNA is filed under the name Mytilus galloprovincialis (Mediterranean mussel). The record is from RNAcentral. Lineage: Eukaryota; Metazoa; Mollusca; Bivalvia; Mytilida; Mytilidae.
UUGUUCCUAUAGUUUUUAUUUUUUCAAUUUACAUUUUAGAAAUAAAAAUGUUUUUUAUCAUUUUGCAACAGUACAAUAUGACAUAAUGAUUCAUGAUCUAAUUGUAAGUAAUGAAUAAUGAGUGACAAGAUGGAUUUUAAACAUUUUUACCAGAGGAGUUAUCUCCACUUGGUAAUUUGCAUAUUAUAAUGAGGAAUGAAUAUGUAACAUGCAUUUCAUUUCUACUCUACAACAUUACAGAAAGUAUUUAAAUAUAUAUGUCUUAACUGAAAUGUUAAGUAGGGAAUAAGCUUAUUGUUUUGAUUGUCAUAAAUCUAUAAAUUAAUAAUCCGCCAUGAUAGUGUGUUUACUGACUGUAUAAAAUAUGUUAUGUAUGAAUUUAUACUGGUGUGUUUUCUUCAAAAUUAAUAAUAAAAUCAAUCUUUGAAGUGAUAAACAAGGAAAAGGACAUCUAUUUUUUUAAAUAAUUUUUUUUUAUAAUUUGUUUAUUUUUUCUAUACAAGAAAAAACAAAAUCCAGCUGUUUCAUUGGUUAUCAAAAUAUUUAAAGGAAUUUGAAUGUCAUGUAUUGCUUUUAUAGCUGUCUUUUCUGUUUGUGAAUGACGUUAUAGAAAUAAGCAAUGAGUUAAUGUUAUCAUGGGUAUUGAGAAGGGGAAAAAAACCACUUUAAAAAAUAUUGUCUAAAAACAACAAAAUAUUGCACUGUUAGGGAAAUGCUGAAGUUUGUUUACAUUGCAUAGGUAAAAAACAACAAAAUAAACAAAGAAAAAGACUGUAGAUCUAGUGUAAAAAUAUCUAACUUGUAAAGGACAAUGUAAUUAGAUAUGAUUCCAGAUUGAUGCAAAACAUCUAACUACCCAACAUAUUUAUUGGAUGAACUUAGUUCGUCAAAUUUACACAUACUCAGCCGAAAUAUUAUUGAAAGAUUAAAAAAGACACAAUUCAAGAAAUAUCAAGGAACCUGGAGGAACUUAUUUUUAAACUAUAAUACUUAACAAUCUGUUAUCAUGUAAAUUGAUAUUUUCAUCAUACUUCAUGAAAUCCCCUCCAAUAACUUGACAUCACUAUGGAAUCAUUUUCUAGUCAAAAAGGGGAGAUAACUAUGGGACUAGCAUAGAAUUAUUGCAAAUAGUAAUAACAAUAUAAUUAUGUUUGGCACACAAUACACAGAUAAAUAUUUAUAGACAUUAGCCUGAUAUGUCACACACAUAUACAUAUAGUUUACAUCAGGCAAUUUACUCAAUGGUUAAUUCAAGAUUACUAUACCAGUACUUAAACGUACUCCAAUGGCACAUACAAAGGUUAAAGAGAAAUAUCUCCUAUUUAUCAACUUUUUCUCUUUUAUUAAGAUUUAUAGAUGCACUAAACCAUUCAUGAUUUUUGAAGUUGGGUCGGUUCAAUACUAAAAAUAUUACGGAGCUUAUACAACUAUGACAUGUAUGUCAAUAGGAUGUGUAUUUUUGACCUUGUUAAGUAACUUUAUACUGUAUGUAAAUUGUGCAGUAUAAGAUUUAAAGGUUUUAACUUUAUAAUGUAAAGAUAAACAUUUAAAUAUCGAAAGUCACAAAUCUGAUCUUUGUUAUUUAAAUUGAACAAUGGAUCUUUUAAAUAACACUAGUUUAAAAUCUAUAGGUUAUAAAAUAGACAGAGAAAAAAAUAUGACCUGUCAUUGUGUA